This 238-nucleotide ribosomal RNA is filed under the name uncultured Lactobacillus sp. RNAcentral's name for it is "partial 16S ribosomal RNA". It matches the Rfam family "Bacterial small subunit ribosomal RNA", at positions 125 to 355 of the family's 1533-position model. Lineage: Bacteria; Bacillati; Bacillota; Bacilli; Lactobacillales; Lactobacillaceae. The record is from RNAcentral.
CCGUAGCCCAAGAGAUCGGGAUAACACCUGGAAACAGAUGCUAAUACCGGAUAACAACAGAUGAUGCCUAUCAACUGUUUAAAAGAUGGUUCUGCUAUCACUCUUGGAUGGGCCUGCGGUGCAUUAGCUAGUUGGUAGGGUAACGGCCUACCAAGGCGAUGAUGCAUAGCCGAGUUGAGAGACUGAUCGGCCACAUUGGGACUGAGACACGGCCCAAACUCCUACGGGAGGCAGCAGC